UACGUAGGGUGCGAGCGUUGUCCGGAAUUAUUGGGCGUAAAGAGCUCGUAGGCGGUUUGUUGCGUCGGCCGUGAAAACCCGCGGCUCAACUGUGGGCUUGCAGUCGAUACGGGCAGGCUGGAGUUCGGUAGGGGAGACUGGAAUUCCUGGUGUAGCGGUGAAAUGCGUUGAUAUCAUCAGGAACACCGGAGGCGAAGGCGGCUCACUGGGGGUUUUCUGACGCUGAGGAACGAAGGCCAGGGGAGCGAACGGG
RNAcentral lists this ribosomal RNA (253 nucleotides) under uncultured bacterium. RNAcentral's name for it is "partial 16S ribosomal RNA". It matches the Rfam family "Bacterial small subunit ribosomal RNA", at positions 524 to 776 of the family's 1533-position model. The record is from RNAcentral.